Molecule: long non-coding RNA, 1075 nt
Filed under: Oreochromis niloticus (Nile tilapia)
Lineage: Eukaryota; Metazoa; Chordata; Actinopteri; Cichliformes; Cichlidae
Description: lncRNA (ENSONIG00000038432.1)
Source: RNAcentral
AUGAAAAAAAUCUUCGCGCAUACGCAUUCGCCUUCCUCAUCUACGCCACAGUGUGCUUUGGCCACGUGUCUGGAAAGAGGGAUUAAUCACGAUUCAUCCGCUGGAGUUAAGGUUGCUGGUUGUGGAAUUUGGAGCUGUGGAGAUUUGAGCUGUGCUCCAAAAGUGCAUGUAAAGGGUUCCCAAAUCGAAGUGAAGUGUGAAUGCAUCCUUCAAGCUGUGAUUAUAUACCUGAAUGAGAACCCUCAAAAUAUCAUCAAAGAGUACAUGGAUUUCAACGUGAUGGAAGCUGAAGAGCUCGAAAGGAUGGAUUUGGGGUGUUUAUAAAAUAAUCCACGAAGGAGCACAGCCUGAUGACUCCCUUGAAGAUGUUGGCAUCAUUAUCGAGAGAUGCACCGUCUUGCAGGAUCUUCACGAUGUGGCGAGCAGGUGUGCACUUUUGUUUGGGUUAAUUAACUGCCUCAAUCUGAGUUACCCAAAGCCACUUCGCUACACAUUUGAGUUCCUCCAGAAGGUGCUCAUGGGACUGGAAGACAAAAAACUGUCUAACAAAAUACAAGUGCUGAAGAACAAACUCUGCCAAAAGGAGACGCAAUGACUCUUCCAGAUCGAAAUGUCCCCCAAAAUAAGUGCUCUGUUUUCUUGCUGACUAAAAGUUUUACUGUUUAAAAGUUUAUAAAUAUAUAUAUGUUGAUCCUUGUUUGUAAACAUUUUGUCAUAGCUUUUAAUAUUCAAGAGAUUUACUGAAUGCUAUUUUUCGUUUGAUUGUGGAAAAGAAAACGUAAUUCAGAAACAGGGUUUUUUGAACUGGGGACAAAAUUACCCAGAUGGAUAUAUUUUCUUGUUUCACAACAUUUUCUUCAGUUUGAGUUGCUGUGGUAAUUCUGCAGACUGUAGCCAUUGCAGACCUACAACUGUAGAUCCUGAAAUCAUUCUGGCAGGUUUGACAUCCUACUCCUCACUACACUGUCACUUUGUUUAAACUGGAAAGUUGUUUCAGAUGUUUACAUUUUGUUUUACACACUUCAUUUAAUGUUGCUUUAUGCAGUGUUGUUUCCCUGUUUAAGCUUUGGGGCUU